Molecule: Y RNA, 90 nt
Filed under: Prolemur simus (greater bamboo lemur)
Lineage: Eukaryota; Metazoa; Chordata; Mammalia; Primates; Lemuridae
Description: Y RNA (ENSPSMG00000014681.1)
Rfam family: Y RNA
About the family: Y RNAs are components of the Ro ribonucleoprotein particle (Ro RNP), in association with Ro60 and La proteins.
Source: Rfam by way of RNAcentral
GGCUGGUCCAAUGGUAGUGGGUUAUCAGAACUUAACAGUGUCACUAAAGUUGGUAUUCAACCCCCCACUGCUAAAUUUGACUGGCUUUAA